Molecule: ribosomal RNA, 253 nt
Filed under: uncultured bacterium
Lineage: Bacteria
Description: partial 16S ribosomal RNA
Rfam family: Bacterial small subunit ribosomal RNA
Source: RNAcentral
UACGUAGGGUCCGAGCGUUGUCCGGAGUUACUGGGCGUAAAGCGCGCGCAGGCGGCUUCAUAAGUCUGGCGUGAAAGCCCCCGGCUCAACCAGGGAGGGUCGUCGGAGACUGUGGAGCUUGAGGGCGGUAGGGGCUGGUGGAAUUCCCGGUGUAGUGGUGAAAUGCGUAGAGAUCGGGAGGAACACCUGUGGCGAAGGCGGCCAGCUGGGCCGUCCCUGACGCUGAGGCGCGAAGGCGUGGGGAGCGAACGGG